GAAAAAGCACCACGCAAGAACUGCUAACUCAUGCUCCCGUGUAUAAAAGCACGGCUUUUUCA
This 62-nucleotide transfer RNA is filed under the name Mustela itatsi. RNAcentral's name for it is "tRNA-Ser". RNAcentral also lists the same sequence under 1 other name. The record is from RNAcentral. Lineage: Eukaryota; Metazoa; Chordata; Mammalia; Carnivora; Mustelidae.